Long non-coding RNA from Oncorhynchus nerka (sockeye salmon), 848 nucleotides. RefSeq lists it as uncharacterized. Lineage: Eukaryota; Metazoa; Chordata; Actinopteri; Salmoniformes; Salmonidae. The transcript has 4 exons. The record is from RefSeq and is a predicted model, not a curated record.
UCCUGUCUAUAUAUACGUUCCCACAGUUAACAGUGAAUGUCAGAACAAAAAAACAAGUUAUGAGGUAGAAGGCAUUGUCCGGAGAGUGAGAUUCUGAUGAAAGGCAGCAAAGUCUCGAUCUCGUCAGGAAGACCCUGAGCAGCUGCGGUUGAAACAGAAAGCCAAAGAGAUGCAGGAGCUGCUUCAGUUGAGAUCGAAGGAAGCUAACCUGAUGGCACUGGCAAUUGUAGGCCCCAGGAAGAUGAGGAAAAUGGAGGCUGCAGCCGCUGGAGCUGAGAACAUGGGCUCUGGGUCAUGUCCCUCUGCGUCUGGUAGUGCUAGUUCAGGAGCGUCCAGACAAUUUACCCGCCAGAGCAUCACUCGUGUCGACCCCAGGGACAUGCUCUUCUGUCUGGAGAAUGAGAGAGAGACCAGUCACUCCCACUUCAUCGACAGAAGCUUCCUUAAAAAGACACCCCAUAGAGACAGACCGGAGAGCUGUCACUCUCGCAUCCACUAUAGCAACUCCCUCAAAUAGAGAGCCCAGACAAAAAGGUAUCUACCCUAGAAUUGGAUAAGAGGGAUGGGACAGUGAUAAAUGGAUAUCAUGCUUCUCCAGGUCACAGUGAAUGGAUCUGACCAAAGUGAAUGGAACGUUUGUCUCCACUGUAUACUCUGGUUGUCCUUUUGUUCUCCAUCUAGUUCUACGCCUGACUGCUCCCUCUACACUCCACCUUCCCCCAGAGCAUUCCUGGGACUCUCACAUGUUCUAGGUUUUUAUAAAUGUUUUACUUACAAUGGAAUUCUAAAAAUAAAAAAGUAAUUAAAGUGUAAAGAAGUAAAUAUUUGCAUUAUAUUAUUAUACAUUU